Neopsephotus bourkii (Bourke's parrot) is the source of this 790-nucleotide long non-coding RNA. RefSeq lists it as uncharacterized. The transcript has 4 exons. The record is from RefSeq and is a predicted model, not a curated record. Lineage: Eukaryota; Metazoa; Chordata; Aves; Psittaciformes; Psittacidae.
CCCCUUCCCAACAGUUGGCGUGCAGCAGAUCCGUAAGGCUGUGUGUGCAUGCGGCCCCGAAGGCGAUGAGCAUGCAAGGGGCUGCAGGGAGGAUGCUGGUGGUGGUGGCAGGACGUGGGCAUCACUGCUGAGUGAUGGGUGAUGAUGUAGGACCUGCAUGAGAAGAGGAUGCUUGUGCAGAAAGGCACUGGGUGAAUGCAGAUGCUCUCAGCCUCCAUCCCACCAGCUCUCCUUGGGGGACUGAGCACCCUGCACCCCAGCUCACCAUGCGUGGGCAAAACCAGCCACCAAGAGCAUCACAGCACAGCCAAGAGGCCACCAGGUCCAUGGCGCUGGCGUGCCCCGGGAGGAGAGAGGGCAGAAAGCCUGCCUGGAGGGCACACAGAGGGAAUGGGCUGGUGGUGGAGCUGAAGGAUCAGGAGGAACUUGGCUUCAUAUUUCAAGUGUGGGAUGUUGCAAGAGGACACGGAGCCCUGAACCCCAGCGGCACACACUCCCCACGGCUCAGCUCGGCUGUGGGGUGCCCACCACAAUGCACCCCACUCCAUCAAUGAGCGCAGGAGCCUUCAUCCCAGCGCAUCGCCAUCAAGGACGGUGCCACCACACCAAGAGACACAGCGAGGCCACGCCAGCUCCAUGGUGGCAACUGAAUACACAGCAGCAAGGGCUCCGUGCAUGGCGUGGGGCUGGGGGCUUCGCACCCACCCGGCUCCCCUGCUCUUGAAAGCAAAUACAAAGGCUGGGCUCCCCCAGUCCUGGCUGAUGCUCGACCUCUCCGUUGUCCUCGCUG